GGAUUAGAUACCCUGGUAGUCUACGCCGUAAACGAUGUGUGCUCGGUGUGUGGCCCUAGAUGGUUGCGCGCCCAAGCUAACGCGAUAAGCACACCGCCUGGGGAGUACGGCCGCAAGGCUAAAACUCAAAGGAAUUGACGGGGGCCCGCACAAGCAGCGGAGCGUGUGGUUUAAUUCGAUGCAACGCGAAGAACCUUACCUGGACUUAACAUGGAAGUGUUAGGGAUCUGAAAAGAAACCGACCUUAGGGAGCUUCCAUAGGUGCUGCAUGGUUGUCGUCAGCUCGUGUCG
Molecule: ribosomal RNA, 291 nt
Filed under: uncultured bacterium
Lineage: Bacteria
Description: partial 16S ribosomal RNA
Rfam family: Bacterial small subunit ribosomal RNA
Source: RNAcentral